This is a non-coding RNA of Thalassospira sp. TSL5-1, 87 nucleotides long. Lineage: Bacteria; Pseudomonadati; Pseudomonadota; Alphaproteobacteria; Rhodospirillales; Thalassospiraceae. The record is from Rfam.
GGAGAGAUGGCAGAGUGGUUGAAUGCACCGGUCUUGAAAACCGGCGUGCCUUUACGGGUACCCAGGGUUCGAAUCCCUGUCUCUCCG